GGGGUUGUGGCUCAGAGGUAGAGCACUCACCUACGAUGUGUGGGGUACUGAGUUCGAUCCUCAGAACCACA
Molecule: transfer RNA, 71 nt
Filed under: Marmota marmota marmota (Alpine marmot)
Lineage: Eukaryota; Metazoa; Chordata; Mammalia; Rodentia; Sciuridae
Also listed under: 1 other name
Rfam family: tRNA
About the family: Transfer RNA (tRNA) molecules are approximately 80 nucleotides in length. Their secondary structure includes four short double-helical elements and three loops (D, anti-codon, and T loops).
Source: Rfam by way of RNAcentral